AAUAAGUGCAGCCAUGAGUUUCGGCGCCCAACUUUGAUCGUCCGUCUUAUUUGAAUUUUUUAUAAUUAGUAUUUUUGUUGUUAUAAGAUGAUAAAACAUGAAUAUUACUUUACUCAUGACUUGUGUUUUUAAUUUUUUUUCAAAAGUUUUUCAAAUAAGACGAAUGGUCAAAGUUGGACGCGAAAAACCAUAACUGCACUUAUU
Molecule: non-coding RNA, 204 nt
Organism: Oryza barthii
Lineage: Eukaryota; Viridiplantae; Streptophyta; Magnoliopsida; Poales; Poaceae
Source: Rfam